RNAcentral lists this ribosomal RNA (500 nucleotides) under uncultured Glomeromycotina. RNAcentral describes it as "partial small subunit ribosomal RNA". It matches the Rfam family "Eukaryotic small subunit ribosomal RNA", at positions 591 to 1092 of the family's 1831-position model. Lineage: Eukaryota; Fungi; Glomeromycota. The record is from RNAcentral.
CCAAUAGCGUAUAUUAAAGUUGUUGCAGUUAAAAAGCUCGUAGUUGAAUUUCGGGGUCAGUAGGUCGGUCAUGCCACAGGUAUGUACUGGUCUCACUGAUUCCUCCUUCCUGAUGAACCGUAAUGCCAUUAAUUUGGUGUUGCGGGGAGACUGGACUGUUACUUUGAAAAAAUUAGAGUGUUUAAAGCAGGCUAACGCUUGAAUACAUUAGCAUGGAAUAACGGAAUAGGACGACCGAUCUUAUUUUGUUGGUUUCUAAGAUUGACGUAAUGAUUAAUAGGGAUAGUUGGGGGCAUUAGUAUUCAAUUGUCAGAGGUGAAAUUCUUGGAUUUAUUGAAGACUAACUACUGCGAAAGCAUUUGCCAAGGAUGUUUUCAUUAAUCAAGAACGAAAGUUAGGGGAUCGAAGACGAUCAGAUACCGUCGUAGUCUUAACCAUAAACUAUGCCGACUAGGGAUCGGAUGAUGUUAAUUUUUUAAUGACUCAUUCGGCGCCUUACG